RNAcentral lists this transfer RNA (70 nucleotides) under Stegodyphus mimosarum. It matches the Rfam family "tRNA". From Rfam's summary of the family: Transfer RNA (tRNA) molecules are approximately 80 nucleotides in length. Their secondary structure includes four short double-helical elements and three loops (D, anti-codon, and T loops). Lineage: Eukaryota; Metazoa; Arthropoda; Arachnida; Araneae; Eresidae. The record is from Rfam by way of RNAcentral.
GCUUUAGUGGUGUAAUGGUAGCACGCUCGACGCGUAUUCGAGAGAUCUAAGUUCGAGUCCUGCGAGAGCA